ACAUGCCUACAACAUAACAUCAAUGCACAGGAUCCCAUUAGAACUCCACAGUUAAGCACGCUCGAGCUAGAGUAGUACUGGGACGGGUGAUCGCCCGAGAAGUCCUAGUAUUUUACAUUCC
Molecule: non-coding RNA, 121 nt
Organism: Picea glauca (white spruce)
Lineage: Eukaryota; Viridiplantae; Streptophyta; Pinopsida; Pinales; Pinaceae
Source: Rfam